Myotis lucifugus (little brown bat) is the source of this 71-nucleotide transfer RNA. It matches the Rfam family "tRNA". Rfam says of the family: Transfer RNA (tRNA) molecules are approximately 80 nucleotides in length. Their secondary structure includes four short double-helical elements and three loops (D, anti-codon, and T loops). Further hydrogen bonds mediate the characteristic L-shaped molecular structure. tRNAs have two regions of fundamental functional importance: the anti-codon, which is responsible for specific mRNA codon recognition, and the 3' end, to which the tRNAs corresponding amino acid is attached (by aminoacyl-tRNA synthetases). tRNAs cope with the degeneracy of the genetic code in two manners: having more than one tRNA (with a specific anti-codon) for a particular amino acid; and 'wobble' base-pairing, i.e. permitting non-standard base-pairing at the 3rd anti-codon position. The record is from Rfam. Lineage: Eukaryota; Metazoa; Chordata; Mammalia; Chiroptera; Vespertilionidae.
GCCGGGGUGGCUCAGUGGUUGAGCGUUGACCUAUGAACCGGGAGGUCAAGGUUUGAUUCCUUGUCAGGGCA